This is a long non-coding RNA of Scomber japonicus (chub mackerel), 357 nucleotides long. RefSeq lists it as uncharacterized. The transcript has 3 exons. NCBI's taxonomy places the organism in Eukaryota, Metazoa, Chordata, Actinopteri, Scombriformes, Scombridae. The record is from RefSeq and is a predicted model, not a curated record.
CAAAGAGGAAAAACAGAGUCUGCUGUAUCAGACUUUCCUAUGGAUGAUGACAUGCCCUACUUCCAGUGUUUCUUUGUGGACGAGGAUGAGGCCCAGUUUCCAUUCUACGCCUUCUCACCACUGUAGAUUUGAAGCUUCACUUUGAAUCUAGUCUGCAGUUUACAAUUUAGUCAAUUUACUGAUAAUGACAAGGUCACGUCACGCUGACACAUAGCCUGCUGUUCACUGUUGGUCUUCAGUAGAAAACCCUGAUGGCAGAGGAUGGCUUAUGUGAUGGACCGUUUACUUUAUUUCCAGAUUUGGUUGAGCUCUCGCACUAAACUACGUGCAGCCAGUGUCAUUCCUUUUUCAUUAUUU